RNAcentral lists this transfer RNA (73 nucleotides) under Cordylochernes scorpioides. Its description in RNAcentral is "tRNA-Thr". It matches the Rfam family "tRNA". Rfam says of the family: Transfer RNA (tRNA) molecules are approximately 80 nucleotides in length. Their secondary structure includes four short double-helical elements and three loops (D, anti-codon, and T loops). Lineage: Eukaryota; Metazoa; Arthropoda; Arachnida; Pseudoscorpiones; Chernetidae. The record is from RNAcentral.
UUCAGGGUAGCCGAGUGGAAAAGGCACCUGCCCGGUAAGCAGAAGGGUGUGGGUUCGAUUCCCGCCCCUGGAC